Molecule: long non-coding RNA, 1752 nt
Filed under: Homo sapiens (human)
Lineage: Eukaryota; Metazoa; Chordata; Mammalia; Primates; Hominidae
Description: HSALNT0367099
Source: RNAcentral
AUUUUGAUGUCACUAUUGUAAUUGUCUGGGAGUGUCACGAACUUCACCUAUGAAAGACAGUGACUCUUGUUAGGGGCUAGUGCAGCUGUUGACUUUAAUUUAAAGUCAAUGCUCAUUGGCUAUUCUGAAAAUUCUUUAAGAAUUAUGCUAAAUGGGCUGGACGUGGUGGCUGAUGCCUGUAAUCCUAGCACUUUGGGAGCCUGAGGCGGGUGGCCUCACCUGGGGUCAGGAGUUUGAGACCAGCCUGACCAACAUGGUGAAACCUCGUCUCUACUAAAAAUGCAAAAAUUAGCCGGGUGUGGUGGCAGGUGCCUGUAAUACCAGCUGCUUGGGAGGCUGAUGCACGAGAAUUGCUUGAACCUGGGAGGCGGAGGUUGCAGUGAGCCGAGAUUGUGCCACUGCACUCCAGCCUGGGGGACAGAGUGAGACUCCAUCUCAAAAAAAAAAAAAAAAAAAAAAAAAGAUUUAUGCUAAAUGGACUCAGCUUGUGCUCUAUAAAAAGAACAAAACCUGAAUGACAGCCCAUCUGUUUAUAGCAUGGUUUACUGAAUAUUUCAAGCCCACUGUUGAGACAUACUGCUCUGAGAAAAAUAUUGCUGCUCAUUGACAACACACCUGAUCACCCAAGAGCUCUGAUGAAGAUGUACAAAGAGAUGAAUGUUGUUUUCAUUCCUGCUAACACAACAUCCAUUCUGAAGUCCAUGGAUCCAGGAAUCAAUCUGGCUUGCUGGUUUCUAGUUGUAUUACUUAAGAAAUGCACUUUGUAAGGUUAUCAUUGCCAUAAAUACUGAUUUCUCUGAUGGAGCUGGGCAAAGUUAAUGAAAAAUCUUCUGAAAAAUAUUCACAAUUGUAGAUGUCAUUAAGAACAUUCAUGCUUCAUGGGAACAAGUGAAAAUAUCAACAUUAAUAUGAGUUUGGAAGAAGUUGAUUCCAACCCUAAUGGAUGACUUCGAGAGGUUCAAGACUUCAGUGGAGGAAGUCACUGUAGGUGACUUAGGAGGAAAUAGCAAAAUAACUAGAAUUAGCAGUGGAGCCUGAAGAUGUGACUAAAUUGCUACAAUCUCAUGAUAAAACUUGAACAGACGAGGAGUUAUUUCAUAUGGAUGAGCAAAGAGUGGUUUCUUGAGAUAGCAUCUACUCUUGAUGAAGACAACGUGAACAUUGUUGAAAUGACAACAAACGAUUUAGAAGAUUAAAUAAACUGAGUUGAAAAAGCGGUGGGGUUUGAGAGGAUUGACUCUAAUUUUGAAAGAAGUUCUAGGCUGGUUUCAGUGAUUCAUGUCUAAUCCGAGCACUUUGGGAGGCUGGGGCAGGAUGAUCGCUUGAGGCCAGGCAUUGGAGAUUAGCUUGGGCAACAUAGUGAGACCCUGUUGCUAUUAAAUCAAACAGCACCCCAUGCUAUAGAGAAAUCUUUCAUGAAGAGUCAAUCAAUAUGGCAAACUUCAUUGCUGUCUUAUUUUGUGACGUUGCCACAGCCACCCCAACCUUCAGCAACCACCACCUUGAUCAGUCAGCAGCUGUCAACAUCAAGGUUUUAUCUUCAUCAGCCUGGUCAAAGCUGGAUUUCCAUCACACAUGUGCUCACUCCACGGAACGUGCAAAAGGUCAAGACAUACAAACUCAGAGUUUUUAAAAUCAAGAAUUGAAAGUGGUCCACUAGCUUCUGUUCAUAGGACAUUGAGCCCCAGAUUUGGCACAUGACCGUCACCCACUCGGAACAUGAAGCACAGCUUGCCAUUUCGGACGGCAAUC